RNAcentral lists this ribosomal RNA (458 nucleotides) under uncultured bacterium. RNAcentral's name for it is "partial 16S ribosomal RNA". It matches the Rfam family "Bacterial small subunit ribosomal RNA", at positions 338 to 795 of the family's 1533-position model. The record is from RNAcentral.
CCUACGGGUGGCAGCAGUGGGGAAUAUUGCACAAUGGGGGAAACCCUGAUGCAGCGACGCCGCGUGAGUGAAGAAGUAAUUCGUUACGUAAAGCUCUAUCAGCAGGGAAGAACUACUGACCUUACGGUCAGCAGACGGUACCUGAGUAAGAAGCCCCGGCUAACUACGUGCCAGCAGCCGCGGUAAUACGUAGGGGGCAAGCGUUAUCCGGAUGUACUGGGUGUAAAGGGAGCGUAGACGGUGCGGCAAGUCUGGAGUGAAAUGCCGCAGCUUAACUGCGGAACUGCGUUGGAAACUGGCGAACUAGAGUGCGGGAGGGGUAAGCGGAAUUCCUAGUGUAGCGGUGAAAUGCGUAGAUAUUAGGAGGAACACCGGUGGCGAAGGCGGCUUACUGGACCGUAACUGACGUUGAGGCUCGAAAGCGUGGGGAGCAAACAGGAUUAGAUACCCGGGUAGUC